RNAcentral lists this ribosomal RNA (253 nucleotides) under uncultured bacterium. RNAcentral's name for it is "partial 16S ribosomal RNA". It matches the Rfam family "Bacterial small subunit ribosomal RNA", at positions 524 to 776 of the family's 1533-position model. The record is from RNAcentral.
UACGGAGGGGGCCAGCGUUGUUCGGAAUCAUUGGGCGUAAAGGGCGCGUAGGCGGCUUGGUAAGUCCGUUGUGAAAUCCCUCGGCUCAACCGAGGAACUGCGACGGAUACUGCUUGGCUUGAGUCCCGGAGAGGGUAGCGGAAUUCCCAGUGUAGCGGUGAAAUGCGUAGAUAUUGGGAGGAACAUCGGUGGCGAAGGCGGCUACCUGGACGGGUACUGACGCUGAGGCGCGAAAGCUAGGGGAGCAAACAGG